GGUCUUGUGGUCUAGUGGUAUGAUUCUCGCUUAGGGUGCGAGAGGUCCCGCGUUCGAGUCGCGGCAAGACCC
Molecule: transfer RNA, 72 nt
Filed under: Blumeria hordei DH14
Lineage: Eukaryota; Fungi; Ascomycota; Leotiomycetes; Helotiales; Erysiphaceae
Also listed under: 3 other names
Description: tRNA-Pro (AGG) (tRNA-Pro-AGG-1-1)
Rfam family: tRNA
About the family: Transfer RNA (tRNA) molecules are approximately 80 nucleotides in length. Their secondary structure includes four short double-helical elements and three loops (D, anti-codon, and T loops). Further hydrogen bonds mediate the characteristic L-shaped molecular structure. tRNAs have two regions of fundamental functional importance: the anti-codon, which is responsible for specific mRNA codon recognition, and the 3' end, to which the tRNAs corresponding amino acid is attached (by aminoacyl-tRNA synthetases). tRNAs cope with the degeneracy of the genetic code in two manners: having more than one tRNA (with a specific anti-codon) for a particular amino acid; and 'wobble' base-pairing, i.e. permitting non-standard base-pairing at the 3rd anti-codon position.
Source: RNAcentral